This 506-nucleotide ribosomal RNA is filed under the name uncultured bacterium. Its description in RNAcentral is "partial 16S ribosomal RNA". It matches the Rfam family "Bacterial small subunit ribosomal RNA", at positions 899 to 1397 of the family's 1533-position model. The record is from RNAcentral.
ACUCAAAUGAAUAGACGGGGGCUCACACAAGCGGUGGAGUAUGUGGAUUAAUUCGAAGCAACGCGAAGCACCUCACCUGGGUUUGACAUGUACGGAUGCUCUUCUGGAAACAGGAGUAGGCUGCCUUCGGGUGAAACGUGCACAGGUGCUGCAUGGCUGUCGUCAGCUCGUGCUGUGAAGUGUCGGGUUAAGUCCCUCAACGAGCGAAACCCCUAUCGUUAGUUACCAGCGGGUCAUGCCGGGGACUCUAGCGAGACCGCCGGCGUCAAGCCGGAGGAAGGCGGGGACGACGUCAAGUCAUCAUGGCCCUUAUGCCCAGGGUGUCACACGUACUACAAUGGUCUGGACAGAGCGACGCGAUACCGCGAGGUGGAGCAAAUCGCAGAAACCAGGCCUCAGUUCAGAUUGCAGUCUGCAACCCGACUGCAUGAAGCUGGAAUCGCUAGUAAUCGCGCAUCAGCCAUGGCGCGGUGAAUGUGUUCCUGAGCCUUGUACACACCGCCCGU